RNAcentral lists this ribosomal RNA (254 nucleotides) under uncultured bacterium. Its description in RNAcentral is "partial 16S ribosomal RNA". It matches the Rfam family "Bacterial small subunit ribosomal RNA", at positions 524 to 776 of the family's 1533-position model. The record is from RNAcentral.
UACGGGGGGAGCAAGCGUUGUUCGGAUUUACUGGGCGUAAAGGGCGCGUAGGCGGCCAGCACAAGUCAGUUGUGAAAUCUCCGAGCUUAACUCGGAAAGGUCAACUGAUACUGUGCGGCUAGAGUGCGGAAGGGGCAACUGGAAUUCUUGGUGUAGCGGUGAAAUGCGUAGAUAUCAAGAGGAACACCUGCGGCGAAGGCGGGUUGCUGGGCCGACACUGACGUUCAGGCACGAAAGCGUGGGGAGCAAACAGG